RNAcentral lists this ribosomal RNA (488 nucleotides) under uncultured bacterium. RNAcentral's name for it is "partial 16S ribosomal RNA". It matches the Rfam family "Bacterial small subunit ribosomal RNA", at positions 28 to 507 of the family's 1533-position model. The record is from RNAcentral.
GAUGAACGCUAGCGGCAGGCUUAAUACAUGCAAGUCGUGGGGCAGCAGGACUGUAGCAAUACCGUUGCUGGCGACCGGCAAACGGGUGCGGAACACGUACGCAGCUUACCCUGAACUGGGGAAAGGCCGGGGAAACCCCGAAUAAAUACCCGGUAAUAUAUUGGGUGGCAUUAACUUAAUAAUUAAGCCUCGGCCGUUCGGGAAUGGCGUGCGGCCGGUUAGGUAGUUGGUUGAGGGAACGGCUUACCAAGCCUACGAUCAGUAACUGGUGUGAGAGCACGACCAGUCACACGGGCACUGAGACACGGGCCCGACUCCUACGGGAGGCAGCAGUAAGGAAUAUUGGGCAAUGGAGGCAACUCUGACCCAGCCAUGCCGCGUGGAGGAUGAAGGCCCUCUGGGUUGUAAACUUCUUUUAUAGGGGACGAAACCUGUGUAUUCUUACGCAGUUGACGGUACCCUAGGAAUAAGCACCGGCUAACUCCGUG